This 65-nucleotide transfer RNA is filed under the name Pseudocellus pearsei. Its description in RNAcentral is "tRNA-Ser". The record is from RNAcentral. Lineage: Eukaryota; Metazoa; Arthropoda; Arachnida; Ricinulei; Ricinoididae.
GUCUAUUUAUCUAAACAAAAGAAUAUAUCUUGAAAAUAUAAAAUAGGUCAUCCGCCUAAUAGUCU